CCUACGGGAGGCUGCAGUGAGGAAUAUUGGUCAAUGGCCGCAGGGCUGAACCAGCCAAGUCGCGUGAGGGAUGACGGUCCUAUGGAUUGUAAACCUCUUUUGUCAGGGAGCAAAGGGCGCCACGUGUGGCGUUUUGCGAGUACCUGAAGAAAAAGCAUCGGCUAACUCCGUGCCAGCAGCCGCGGUAAUACGGAGGAUGCGAGCGUUAUCCGGAUUUAUUGGGUUUAAAGGGUGCGUAGGCGGACGCGUAAGUCAGCGGUAAAAUUGCGGGGCUCAACCUCGACGAGCCGUUGAAACUGGGUGCCUUGAGUGGGCGAGAAGUACGCGGAAUGCGUGGUGUAGCGGUGACAUGCAUAGAUAUCACGCAGAACUCCGAUUGCGAAGGCAGCGUACCGGCGCCCAACUGACGCUGAGGCACGAAGGCGUGGGUAUCGAACAGGAUUAGAUACCCCUGUAGUC
Molecule: ribosomal RNA, 459 nt
Filed under: uncultured bacterium
Lineage: Bacteria
Description: partial 16S ribosomal RNA
Rfam family: Bacterial small subunit ribosomal RNA
Source: RNAcentral